Molecule: ribosomal RNA, 484 nt
Filed under: uncultured Lactobacillus sp.
Lineage: Bacteria; Bacillati; Bacillota; Bacilli; Lactobacillales; Lactobacillaceae
Description: bacterial SSU rRNA
Rfam family: Bacterial small subunit ribosomal RNA
Source: RNAcentral
UCGAGCGAGCUUGCCUGAUGAUUUUAGUGCUUGCACUAAAUGAAACUAGAUACAAGCGAGCGGCGGACGGGUGAGUAACACUGGGUAACCUGCCCAAGAGACUGGGAUAACACCUGGAAACAGAUGCUAAUACCGGAUAACAACACUAGACGCAUGUCUAGAGUUUGAAAGAUGGUUCUGCUAUCACUCUUGGAUGGACCUGCGGUGCAUUAGCUAGUUGGUAAGGUAACGGCUUACCAAGGCAAUGAUGCAUAGCCGAGUUGAGAGACUGAUCGGCCACAUUGGGACUGAGACACGGCCCAAACUCCUACGGGAGGCAGCAGUAGGGAAUCUUCCACAAUGGACGAAAAGUCUGAUGGAGCAACGCCGCGUGAGUGAAGAAGGGUUUCGGCUCGUAAAGCUCUGUUGGUAGUGAAGAAAGAUAGAGGUAGUAACUGGCCUUUAUUUGACGGUAAUUACUUAGAAAGUCACGGCUAACUACGUG